This 435-nucleotide ribosomal RNA is filed under the name uncultured Lachnospiraceae bacterium. Its description in RNAcentral is "partial 16S ribosomal RNA". It matches the Rfam family "Bacterial small subunit ribosomal RNA", at positions 341 to 792 of the family's 1533-position model. Lineage: Bacteria; Bacillati; Bacillota; Clostridia; Lachnospirales; Lachnospiraceae. The record is from RNAcentral.
ACGGGAGGCAGCAGUGGGGAAUAUUGCACAAUGGGCAAAAGCCUGAUGCAGCGACGCCGCGUGAGUGAUGAAGUAUUUCGGUAUGUAAAGCUCUAUCAGCAGGGAAGAAAAAUGACGGUACCUGACUAAGAAGCACCGGCUAAAUACGUGCCAGCAGCCGCGGUAAUACGCAUGGUGCAAGCGUUAUCCGGAUUUACUGGGUGUAAAGGGAGCGCAGGCGGUACGGCAAGUCUGAUGUGAAAGCCCGGGGCUCAACCCCGGUACUGCAUUGGAAACUGUCGAACUAGAGUGUCGGAGGGGUAAGUGGAAUUCCUAGUGUAGCGGUGAAAUGCGUAGAUAUUAGGGGGAACACCAGUGGCGAAGGCGGCUUACUGGACGAUAACUGACGCUGAGGCUCGAAAGCGUGGGGAGCAAACAGGAUUAGAUACCCUGGUA